GUUUCAGCAGCCGCGGUAAUACGUAGGGUGCGAGCGUUGUCCGGAAUUACUGGGCGUAAAGAGCUUGUAGGUGGUUUGUCGCGUUGUUCGUGAAAUCUCACGGCUUAACUGUGAGCGUGCGGGCGAUACGGGCAGACUAGAGUACUGCAGGGGAGACUGGAAUUCCUGGUGUAGCGGUGGAAUGCGCAGAUAUCAGGAGGAACACCGGUGGCGAAGGCGGGUCUCUGGGCAGUAACUGACGCUGAGAAGCGAAAGCGUGGGGAGCGAACAGGAUUAGAUACCCCAGUAGUCC
RNAcentral lists this ribosomal RNA (292 nucleotides) under uncultured bacterium. RNAcentral's name for it is "partial 16S ribosomal RNA". It matches the Rfam family "Bacterial small subunit ribosomal RNA", at positions 505 to 796 of the family's 1533-position model. The record is from RNAcentral.